Molecule: ribosomal RNA, 844 nt
Filed under: uncultured bacterium
Lineage: Bacteria
Description: bacterial SSU rRNA
Rfam family: Bacterial small subunit ribosomal RNA
Source: RNAcentral
UAUGGNUCAACCAUAGUGUGCUCUGGAAACUNUCUGACUUGAGUGCAGAAGGGGAGAGUGGAAUUCCAUGUGUAGCGGUGAAAUGCGUAGAUAUAUGGAGGANCACCAGUGGCGAAAGCGGCUCUCUGGUCUGUCACUGACGCUGAGGCUNGAAAGCGUGGGUAGCGAACAGGAUUAGAUACCCUGGUAGUCCACGCCGUAAACGAUGAGUGCUAGGUGUUAGGCCCUUUCCGGGGCUUAGUGCCGGAGCUAACGCAAUAAGCACUCCGCCUGGGGAGUACGACCGCAAGGUUGAAACUCAAAGGAAUUGACGGGGGCCCGCACAAGCGGUGGAGCAUGUGGUUUAAUUCGAAGCAACGCGAAGAACCUUACCAGGUCUUGACAUCCCGAUGCUAUUCUUAGAGAUAGGAAGUUACUUCGGUACAUCGGAGACAGGUGGUGCAUGGUUGUCGUCAGCUCGUGUCGUGAGAUGUUGGGUUAAGUCCCGCAACGAGCGCAACCCUUAUUGUUAGUUGCCAUCAUUAAGUUGGGCACUCUAGCGAGACUGCCGGUAAUAAACCGGAGGAAGGUGGGGAUGACGUCAAAUCAUCAUGCCCCUUAUGACCUGGGCUACACACGUGCUACAAUGGUCGGUACAACGAGUUGCGAGCCGGUGACGGCAAGCUAAUCUCUGAAAGCCGAUCUCAGUUCGGAUUGGAGGCUGCAACUCGCCUCCAUGAAGUCGGAAUCGCUAGUAAUCGCGGAUCAGCACGCCGCGGUGAAUACGUUCCCGGGCCUUGUACACACCGCCCGUCACACCACGAGAGUUUGUAACACCCGAAGUCGGUGAGGUANCCUUUUAGGG